Molecule: ribosomal RNA, 253 nt
Filed under: uncultured Lachnospiraceae bacterium
Lineage: Bacteria; Bacillati; Bacillota; Clostridia; Lachnospirales; Lachnospiraceae
Description: partial 16S ribosomal RNA
Rfam family: Bacterial small subunit ribosomal RNA
Source: RNAcentral
UACGUAGGGGGCAAGCGUUAUCCGGAUUUACUGGGUGUAAAGGGAGCGUAGGCGGCCUGCCAAGUCUGAUGUGAAAUACCGGGGCUCAACCCCGGGGCUGCAUUGGAAACUGGCAGGCUGGAGUGCCGGAGAGGCAGGCGGAAUUCCUAGUGUAGCGGUGAAAUGCGUAGAUAUUAGGAGGAACACCAGUGGCGAAGGCGGCCUGCUGGGCUUUUACUGACGCUGAGGCUCGAAAGCGUGGGUAGCAAACAGG